UCUCCGUUGGUGAACCAGCGGAGGGAUCAUUACCGAGUUGACAAAUUCCAAACCCUUUGUGAACUAUACCAAACUGUUUCCUGCGCGGGGUCACGGCCCGGGCGGGUCGCGCCCCCGGAAGCAGGCGCCCGCCGGAGGGACCGACCAAACUCUUUCUGUAGUCCCCCCGCGGACGUUAUUUUUACAGCUCUGAGCAAACAUUCAAAAUGAGUCAAAACUUUCAACAACGGAACUCUUGGUUCUG
RNAcentral lists this unclassified non-coding RNA (244 nucleotides) under plant metagenome. Its description in RNAcentral is "partial contains small subunit ribosomal RNA, internal transcribed spacer 1, and 5.8S ribosomal RNA". The record is from RNAcentral.